GGUACAGCCACCUCUUGUCUCUGCCCAUCCUGGCCAGGCCCUGGCAUUCUAUCCAGCCAGUCCGUCAGGAAAUGAAGAUGGCUUCCUUCCCAAGCUAUAGUCCGAGGACCCAUCAGCUUCCGCCUCUCCACCAGCCAACAGCUGCAGGUGAUGGAUGUGAAGAGACACUUGUCUCCAUGAUCCUGGGUAGCUGAGAAUCCUGGAGUGCCAGCCCUGCAGGCUGCCCUGGAGUUGAAGCCCUACCAUCUGGGCACCAUCUCCUCAGACAGAGCCAUGGCAAGAGGGUUGGGAGAGGCCUGGACUGCCCUCCUGGUGAGAGGAGUUCCCUUGUCACCCUUUGCACCCAGAGGAGAAAAGCUAGGUAGCUUUGGAUGGGGGUGGCAAAUUCUGGACUCAAGCUUCCCUGUCCUUCAUAGAUUCCAAGCUAGACACAAAGCCACCCCAGGGAGAACAGUAUCAUCCAGACUGAGAAGGAUGUGCCAGGAGUCUUUUCCCAGAUGCCUGGCCAGGAUACUUGGUGAAAGGUGGCCCCACACUUCUCAUGUGAACCAACCACAAUCAAGUGAGGAGGACAGGGAGCCCAUUCUCCAGGCAUAACCU
This 600-nucleotide long non-coding RNA is filed under the name Rattus norvegicus (Norway rat). RNAcentral's name for it is "long non-coding RNA NONRATT029614". The record is from RNAcentral. Lineage: Eukaryota; Metazoa; Chordata; Mammalia; Rodentia; Muridae.